GGGCCGGUAUAUCAGUCUGGUAGAUAGCUCCGCUUGCACCGGAGAGGCCUUGGGUUCAAAUCCCAACCGGUCCA
Molecule: transfer RNA, 74 nt
Filed under: Candidatus Aenigmatarchaeota archaeon
Lineage: Archaea; Nanobdellati; Candidatus Aenigmatarchaeota
Description: tRNA-Ala
Rfam family: tRNA
About the family: Transfer RNA (tRNA) molecules are approximately 80 nucleotides in length. Their secondary structure includes four short double-helical elements and three loops (D, anti-codon, and T loops).
Source: RNAcentral